Molecule: unclassified non-coding RNA, 525 nt
Filed under: uncultured Glomeromycotina
Lineage: Eukaryota; Fungi; Glomeromycota
Description: SSU rRNA
Rfam family: Eukaryotic small subunit ribosomal RNA
Source: RNAcentral
CAGCCGGGUAAUUCCAGCUCCAAUAGCGUAUAUUAAAGUUGUUGCAGUUAAAAAGCUCGUAGUUGAAUUUCGGGAUUGACACAUCGGUCGUGCCUUAAGGGGUAUGAACUGGUGUAGUCAAUUUCUCACCUUCUGGAGAACCGCGAUGCCCUUAAUUGGGUGUCGCGGGGAACCAGGACCUUUACUUUGAAAAAAUUAGAGUGUUUAAAGCAGGCAUUUUGCUUGAAUACAUUAGCAUGGAAUAAUAAAAUAGGACGGCAUGAUUCUAUUUUGUUGGUUUCUAGGAUCACCGUAAUGAUUAAUAGGGAUAGUUGGGGGCAUUAGUAUUCAAUUGUCAGAGGUGAAAUUCUUGGAUUUAUUGAAGACUAACUACUGCGAAAGCAUUUGCCAAGGAUGUUUUCAUUAAUCAAGAACGAAAGUUAGGGGAUCGAAGACGAUCAGAUACCGUCGUAGUCUUAACCAUAAACUAUGCCGACUAGGAAUCAGACGAUGUUAAUUUUUUAAUGACUCGUUUGGCACCUUACG